This 74-nucleotide transfer RNA is filed under the name Candidatus Lloydbacteria bacterium RIFCSPLOWO2_01_FULL_50_20. RNAcentral's name for it is "tRNA-Gln". It matches the Rfam family "tRNA". From Rfam's summary of the family: Transfer RNA (tRNA) molecules are approximately 80 nucleotides in length. Their secondary structure includes four short double-helical elements and three loops (D, anti-codon, and T loops). The record is from RNAcentral. Lineage: Bacteria; Candidatus Lloydiibacteriota.
UGCGGGAUCGGCUAAUGGUAGGCCAGUAGCCUCUGGAGCUAUUUAUCUUGGUUCGAAUCCAAGUCCCGCAGCCA